Molecule: non-coding RNA, 279 nt
Organism: Heterocephalus glaber (naked mole-rat)
Lineage: Eukaryota; Metazoa; Chordata; Mammalia; Rodentia; Bathyergidae
Source: Rfam
GGAUGUGAGGGCAGGUGAUCUGGCUGCGACCUCUGUCACCACACUGAUCGCCAGGGUUGAUUGGGCUGAGCUGGCUGGCCGGGUGGGGGUCCCCUUCCUCCCUCACCGCGCCAUGUGCGUCCCUCCCGAAGCUGCGCUCUCAGUCGAAGAGGACAACCACCCCGAUAGAGGAGGACCGUUUCCUCGGUCAAGGGUAUACAAGUAGCUGCGCUACCCUGCUAGAACCUCCAAACAAGCUCUUAAGAAUCAAGACGCUGGCAAGUUGUACAGACGGGAACU